UAAGGAAUAUUGCUUAAUGGGAGAAAUCCUGAAGCAGCAACGCCGCGUGGAGGAUGAAGGGUCUAUGACUUGUAAACUCCUGUAAAGAAGGAAAAAAUUCCCAUUUGAUGGGAGAUGAUGGUACUUCUGGAGUAAGCCCCGGCUAACUACGUGCCAGCAGCCGCGGUAAUACGUAGGGGGCAAGCGUUGUCCGGAUUUACUGGGUGUAAAGGGUGCUCAGGCGGAUUUGUAAGUCAGAGGUGAAAUCUUACAGCUUAACUGUGAAACUGCCUUUGAUACUGCAAGCCUAGAGUAUGGAAGAGAGUGAUGGAAUAUCUGGUGUAGCAGUGAAAUGCGUAGAUAUCAGAUAGAACACCAAUGGCGAAGGCAGUCACUUGGUCCAUUACUGACGCUAAAGCACGAAAGCGUGGGUAGCAAACA
RNAcentral lists this ribosomal RNA (420 nucleotides) under uncultured bacterium. RNAcentral describes it as "bacterial SSU rRNA". It matches the Rfam family "Bacterial small subunit ribosomal RNA", at positions 355 to 774 of the family's 1533-position model. The record is from RNAcentral.